CAUUACAGAGAAAUUGCCCUUCGGGGUAGCAUCUCCCACCCUUUGUUUAUAUUACCUUUGUUGCUUUGGCAGGCCCGUCUUUUGACCACCGGCUUAGGCUGGUCCGCGCCUGCCAGAGGAUCCCAAACUCUUGAAUUUUGUGUUGUCUGAGGAAUAUCAAAAAACAAGUUUAAAACUUUCAACAACGGAUCUCUUGGUUCUGGCAUCGAUGAAGAACGCAGCGAAAUGCGAUAAGUAAUGUGAAUUGCAGAAUUCAGUGAAUCAUCGAAUCUUUGAACGCACAUUGCACCCUCUGGUAUUCCGGGGGGUAUGCCUGUUCGAGCGUCAUUUCAACCCUCAAGCUGAGCUUGGUAUUGGGCGUCACCUGACGACAGUUUGGUGCACCUUAAAAUCAGUGGCGGUGCCGUCUGGCUUCAAGCGUAGUAAAACCCUCGCUCUGGAGGUUUGGAUGCAUGCUUGCCAUCAACCACUAAUUUAUCAAAGGUUGACCUCGGAUCAGGUAGGGAUACCC
RNAcentral lists this ribosomal RNA (511 nucleotides) under uncultured Ascomycota. Its description in RNAcentral is "eukaryotic LSU rRNA". The stretch from base 174 to 327 matches the Rfam family "5.8S ribosomal RNA". The record is from RNAcentral. Lineage: Eukaryota; Fungi; Ascomycota.